GACGAACGCUGGCGGCGUGCUUAACACAUGCAAGUCGAACGGAAAGGCCCUGCUUUUGUGGGGUGCUCGAGUGGCGAACGGGUGAGUAACACGUGAGUAACCUGCCCUUGACUUUGGGAUAACUUCAGGAAACUGGGGCUAAUACCGGAUAGGAGCUCCUGCUGCAUGGUGGGGGUUGGAAAGUUUCGGCGGUUGGGGCUGGACUCGCGGCUUAUCAGCUUGUUGGUGGGGUAGUGGCUUACCAAGGCUUUGACGGGUAGCCGGCCUGAGAGGGUGACCGGCCACAUGGGGACUGAGAUACGGCCCAGACGCCUACGGGAGGCAGCAGUGGGGAAUAGUGCACAAUGGGCGGAAGCCGGAUGCAGCAACGCCGCGUGCGGGAUGACGGCCUUCGGGGUGUAAACCGCUUUCGCCUGUGACGAAGCGUGAGUGACGGUAAUGGGUAAAGAAGCACCGGCUAACUACGU
RNAcentral lists this ribosomal RNA (467 nucleotides) under uncultured bacterium. RNAcentral describes it as "partial 16S ribosomal RNA". It matches the Rfam family "Bacterial small subunit ribosomal RNA", at positions 28 to 506 of the family's 1533-position model. The record is from RNAcentral.